AUGAACGCUGGCGGCGUGCCUAAUACAUGCAAGUCGCGCGAACAGACGAGGAGCUUGCUCCUCUGACGUAGCGGCGGACGGGUGAGUAACACGUGGAUAACCUACCUAUAAGACUGGGAUAACUUCGGGAAACCGGAGCUAAUACCGGAUAAUAUAUUGAACCGCAUGGUUCAAUAGUGAAAGACGGUUUUGCUGUCACUUAUAGAUGGAUCCGCGCCGCAUUAGCUAGUUGGUAAGGUAACGGCUUACCAAGGCAACGAUGCGUAGCCGACCUGAGAGGGUGAUCGGCCACACUGGAACUGAGACACGGUCCAGACUCCUACGGGAGGCAGCAGUAGGGAAUCUUCCGCAAUGGGCGAAAGCCUGACGGAGCAACGCCGCGUGAGUGAUGAAGGUCUUCGGAUCGUAAAACUCUGUUAUUAGGGAAGAACAAAUGUGUAAGUAACUAUGCACGUCUUGACGGUACCUAAUCAGAAAGCCACGGCUAACUACGUG
This 495-nucleotide ribosomal RNA is filed under the name uncultured bacterium. RNAcentral's name for it is "partial 16S ribosomal RNA". It matches the Rfam family "Bacterial small subunit ribosomal RNA", at positions 29 to 507 of the family's 1533-position model. The record is from RNAcentral.